UAAUUAACUGCUUGUUCAGUGUUGGUUCA
This 29-nucleotide non-coding RNA is filed under the name Rattus norvegicus (Norway rat). The record is from RNAcentral. Lineage: Eukaryota; Metazoa; Chordata; Mammalia; Rodentia; Muridae.